AUCCAACAGAUGUUUCAUCUGUGGUAAAAAGGGACAUUGAAUGGGCUUAUUAGGCUUUCUAUGUUGAGAAAGGUCAUAAAAAUAAGAGGGAAGAAAAGGCCUUUUGUCAACCCUACUAAAGUUACACAUCCUGAAAUGACUUCAUCAGACCUUUUGUUAGCCCAACCAGAAUGUCAACAAUUGAUACAAUAAAGUCUCAUUAAACCUACCAAUUAUGAAUGGGCUUAUCAAGCUUUCUAUGUUGAGAAAAGGUCAGAAAAAUCAGAGGAAAGAAAAGGCUUGUCAUUGAUUA
Molecule: unclassified non-coding RNA, 292 nt
Filed under: Hevea brasiliensis (rubber tree)
Lineage: Eukaryota; Viridiplantae; Streptophyta; Magnoliopsida; Malpighiales; Euphorbiaceae
Source: RNAcentral